RNAcentral lists this unclassified non-coding RNA (220 nucleotides) under Hevea brasiliensis (rubber tree). Lineage: Eukaryota; Viridiplantae; Streptophyta; Magnoliopsida; Malpighiales; Euphorbiaceae. The record is from RNAcentral.
UAUGGGAUCAGUAGCAGCCAUUGUUCGUGAUGAACAAGGUCAAGUGACUGGAUGGCGUUGCAAAUUGUUUCCAAAUAUAGAGGAUCCCCUAGUUCUUGAAAGUUUGGCUUGUCGAGAGGCUAUUCAACUAGCCAUAGCUAAGGGUUUGGCAAAUGCUAUCAUUGAAGGUGACUCCCAGGUGGUCAUCAACAGUUGCAAAGGAUAUGUGAGCUCAGUAGAA